UACGUAGGUGGCAAGCGUUGUCCGGAAUUAUUGGGCGUAAAGCGCACGCAGGUGGCUGAGUAAGUCGAUUGUGAAAGCCCUGGGCUUAACCUGGGAAUUGCAGUCGAUACUGCUCGGCUAGAGUAUGGGAGAGGGUAGUGGAAUUCCCGGUGUAGCGGUGAAAUGCGUAGAUAUCGGGAGGAACAUCAGUGGCGAAGGCGGCUACCUGGCCCAAUACUGACACUCAGGUGCGACAGCGUGGGGAGCAAACAGG
RNAcentral lists this ribosomal RNA (253 nucleotides) under uncultured bacterium. RNAcentral describes it as "partial 16S ribosomal RNA". It matches the Rfam family "Bacterial small subunit ribosomal RNA", at positions 524 to 776 of the family's 1533-position model. The record is from RNAcentral.